CCGUCUCCCUCUCGCUCUCUCGUGCUCCCUCUCUUAAUCUUGCUGCCACUCUUCGUGUGGACGGAAGGUUUCUUCCUAUCAGGUAAAAACAGAGGGUUUCUUCCCAUCUCGCUGCCACUCUCCUUGUGGUUGGAAGGUUUCUUCCCUUCAGGUAAAAACAAAGGGUUUCUUCCCAUCAUCCCCUCAUCGUCCUUGGUAUCUCUCUCUCUCUCUCAAAUAUUGAAUGUCCAAACCCUAUUCUGUGGUCAUCAACAGUGAAGAGAAUAGAAGAAAUCUGAGAAGGCACUAGAAGUGGGACAAGAUUGAAGACAAGUACGCAGUGACUGUGCUUGCAUUGGCAGUAGCCAUCACGUUGUGGGGCUUGGCAGGUUUGAUCUCGGCAAUCGAUAGGCUUCCUUUAGUACCUGACAUUCUUGAACUCAUAGGAAUCAGUUAUACAGGGGUAUGUUGUAAUGUACUAUGCUAUCCUUAGAAGAAAUGCAUCCCACUAAAAACUGUUUUUAGUUCUCAUGUUUUUUCAGGUUUCUAAGACUAAUCUUGUGAGUUAUACACACUAAUGGGUAUAUGAGUUUUAUGGUGGAAAUGAUGUGGGCUUAUCUUCCUCUUUUGUGGUCUCUUAUAAAACCAAUAUCUCUUAAAAUUUGCAUUGAUGAAAAUUGAAUUUGCUGUAUGCUAAAAUACCAGCCACACAUAAGAAGAGAGAGAGAGAGAGGGAAGUAUGGGGUACCAAACCAACUACAUAUAUAGUUGUGUUAGACCAAUGCAUGGAAGUAAAUUUCUUUAAAUACCUCUGAUUCAUUAUUCAGUCCCAGCUUGUUAGAUAGGUACUUCAUUAAACAACCCAACAGUCAUCCUUCCAUCUCUGCGAACAAAAAUAAAAAAUAAAAAUUCUUUCUUAUUCAUACAUUUCAUCAAAUUCAUGUACUGUGCACAUACAAGAUUCUCAAGUAGCUCUUGGGUAUCUGAGGCAAAAAGGGUUCUUUCUCUCUGCAUUGACAAAUCAAGUACAAUCAAUUACAAUCUAAUAUUAAAUCCUCAAAGACAAAUUUAAAGAAAAAAAAAAGAAAAAAGAAAAUCCAACUUGGGUUUUUGUUAUCAAUAUUUUUCUUAAAGAAUACUUGAAUUAUUUUCAAUCCAAACCACUUGGAAACUCAAAAACUGUCUGAACCAUUG
Molecule: long non-coding RNA, 1173 nt
Organism: Magnolia sinica
Lineage: Eukaryota; Viridiplantae; Streptophyta; Magnoliopsida; Magnoliales; Magnoliaceae
Exons: 3
Source: RefSeq, a predicted model, not a curated record